RNAcentral lists this ribosomal RNA (643 nucleotides) under Trichoderma harzianum. RNAcentral describes it as "eukaryotic LSU rRNA". The stretch from base 257 to 410 matches the Rfam family "5.8S ribosomal RNA". Lineage: Eukaryota; Fungi; Ascomycota; Sordariomycetes; Hypocreales; Hypocreaceae. The record is from RNAcentral.
GGAAGUAAAAGUCGUAACAAGGUCUCCGUUGGUGAACCAGCGGAGGGAUCAUUACCGAGUUUACAACUCCCAAACCCAAUGUGAACGUUACCAAACUGUUGCCUCGGCGGGAUCUCUGCCCCGGGUGCGUCGCAGCCCCGGACCAAGGCGCCCGCCGGAGGACCAACCAAAACUCUUAUUGUAUACCCCCUCGCGGGUUUUUUUUAUAAUCUGAGCCUUCUCGGCGCCUCUCGUAGGCGUUUCGAAAAUGAAUCAAAACUUUCAACAACGGAUCUCUUGGUUCUGGCAUCGAUGAAGAACGCAGCGAAAUGCGAUAAGUAAUGUGAAUUGCAGAAUUCAGUGAAUCAUCGAAUCUUUGAACGCACAUUGCGCCCGCCAGUAUUCUGGCGGGCAUGCCUGUCCGAGCGUCAUUUCAACCCUCGAACCCCUCCGGGGGGUCGGCGUUGGGGAUCGGCCCUGCCUUGGCGGUGGCCGUCUCCGAAAUACAGUGGCGGUCUCGCCGCAGCCUCUCCUGCGCAGUAGUUUGCACACUCGCAUCGGGAGCGCGGCGCGUCCACAGCCGUUAAACACCCAACUUCUGAAAUGUUGACCUCGGAUCAGGUAGGAAUACCCGCUGAACUUAAGCAUAUCAAUAAGCGGAGGA